UAUCAAGGAAGGAAAAAAAUCUUUCCAGGAAACUUUACAUCUCAAAGGCCAGAACUGGGUCACAUGGCCAUUCCUAAAAACAGCGAGUCUGGGAAAUGAAAAACAGGAAUUCCUGACGCUCUUAUGCCAUCUGACGAAGGGAUAUGUUCACCUAGUACCAGUGUCUCACAUCAAAGAUUAUCUCCAUUUGGAAUUACAGAAAUCUCCCCUGAGGU
Molecule: non-coding RNA, 215 nt
Organism: Vicugna pacos (alpaca)
Lineage: Eukaryota; Metazoa; Chordata; Mammalia; Artiodactyla; Camelidae
Source: RefSeq, a predicted model, not a curated record